This 430-nucleotide ribosomal RNA is filed under the name Pseudomonadota bacterium. RNAcentral describes it as "Proteobacteria bacterium partial 16S ribosomal RNA". It matches the Rfam family "Bacterial small subunit ribosomal RNA", at positions 355 to 776 of the family's 1533-position model. The record is from RNAcentral. Lineage: Bacteria; Pseudomonadati; Pseudomonadota.
UGGGGAAUAUUGGACAAUGGGGGGAACCCUGAUCCAGCCAUGCCGCGUGUGUGAAGAAGGCCUUAUGGUUGUAAAGCACUUUAAGCGAGGAGGAGGGUACUGGUAUUAAUACUACCAGGUACUGGACGUUACUCGCAGAAUAAGCACCGGCUAACUCUGUGCCAGCAGCCGCGGUAAUACAGAGGGUGCGAGCGUUAAUCGGAUUUACUGGGCGUAAAGCGUGCGUAGGCGGCUAAUUGAGUCGGAUGUGAAAUCCCCGACCUUAACUUGGGAAUUGCAUUCGAUACUGGUUAGCUAGAGUGUGGGAGAGGAUGGUAGAAUUCCAGGUGUAGCGGUGAAAUGCGUAGAGAUCUGGAGGAAUACCGAUGGCGAAGGCAGCCAUCUGGCCUAACACUGACGCUGAGGUACGAAAGCAUGGGGAGCAAACAGG